Molecule: unclassified non-coding RNA, 309 nt
Filed under: plant metagenome
Description: partial contains 5.8S ribosomal RNA, internal transcribed spacer 2, and large subunit ribosomal RNA
Rfam family: 5.8S ribosomal RNA (bases 1-104)
Source: RNAcentral
AAAUGCGAUAAGUAGUGUGAAUUGCAGAAUUCAGUGAAUCAUCGAAUCUUUGAACGCACAUUGCGCCGCUUGGUAUUCCAUGGGGCAUGCCUGUUCGAGCGUCAUUUGUACCCUCAAGCUCUGCUUGGUGUUGGGUGUUUGUCCCCGUCUCCGCGCGUGGACUCGCCCCAAAGUGAUUGGCAGCCGGCGUACUGGUCCCGGAGCGCAGCACAUGUCGCGCAAACGAGUGCCUUGGUACGGCGGCGUCCAUAAGCCCCUCUCUCACGCUCUUGACCUCGGAUCAGGUAGGGAUACCCGCUGAACUUAAGC